RNAcentral lists this ribosomal RNA (489 nucleotides) under uncultured bacterium. RNAcentral describes it as "partial 16S ribosomal RNA". It matches the Rfam family "Bacterial small subunit ribosomal RNA", at positions 28 to 507 of the family's 1533-position model. The record is from RNAcentral.
GACGAACGCUGGCGGCGUGCUUAACACAUGCAAGUCGAACGGAAAGGCCCCCAUCUUGGUGUGGGUGCUCGAGUGGCGAACGGGUGAGUAACACGUGGGUGAUCUGCCCUGUACUUCGGGAUAAGCUUGGGAAACUGGGUCUAAUACCGGAUAGGACCAUGGUUUAGUGUCUCAUGGUGGAAAGAUUAUUUUUUUGGUGCAGGAUGAGCUCGCGGCCUAUCAGCUUGUUGGUGGGGUAAUGGCCUACCAAGGCGUCGACGGGUAGCCGGCCUGAGAGGGUGGACGGCCACAUUGGGACUGAGAUACGGCACAGACUCCUACGGGAGGCAGCAGUGGGGAAUAUUGCACAAUGGGCGCAAGACUGAUGCAGCGACGCCGCGUGGGGGAUGACGGCCUUCGGGUUGUAAACUCCUUUCGUUAGGGACGAAGCCGCACUUUUUUUGGGUGUGGUGACGGUACCUUUGUUAAGAAGCACCGGCUAACUACGUG